GUCUCGUUCGGUUAGAGACCCAGGAUCUUGUGGAAUUGAAUCCUUUAGUUGGCUAAGUCUAUUCCAGGGGAAGAACUAUCGUGGCCAAUUCUAGGAGUCGUCUAAUACAGAUAGUUGAUGCAUUCAGGGGGAACUGAGUAGUCGUACAACCCAUCCACGUCUGAAUAUUCCGGAGUAGCUUACUCUCUCACGCUGAAGAGCUUACCCUAAUGAGUGUCAGGGAAUUAGUUUACCCUCUUGUGCUGGAAAGCUGAUCCUGAUGGGUGUUGAGAUAUUAGUUUACCCUCUCGCGUUAGAGAGCUUAGCCAGAUAGGUGUCGGGAAAUUAGUUUACCCUCUCGCGUUGGAGAGCUAACCAUGAUGGGUGUUAAGGAAUUAGUUUACCUUCUCGCGCUGGAGAGCUUACGGCAUGUCUGUAGGGCAGCAGGCGUCUUCUGCUUGUCACAUAAGGUUGGUCAAUUUGUUUAUGCAUUUGGCCCAGGCUUGUGAAUAAUUCCUUCAAUAUUCACUGAAAAUAUAGGCUUUUAUUAACUUUGCUCAUAGACAGUAAUGGCAUAACAACUGAUAAUUCUCGGUAUGCGAGGUUUUGUUCAUCGUGCUGCUUGAGUUUUCGAACUUUUUUCAUCUUAAACGGGGUCCAAGGAAUGGUAGGAGGUCACACAUAGUACUUUCUCAGGUUGUAGGCAUUCCACUGCUUGUUGAUUUCUUUGUUUCUUAUAGUGGUGAAGGUGUAGCUGCCUCUUACGCCUACUCGACAGAUUUUGUACGGACCUUCCCAGAUGGGAGCCAUCUUUUUGGAGCCUUCCCGUAGGAAUUUGGAUCGCUGGAAGUACCCCUGAAACGAGGCGUGUUAGGUCGGCGCUUAUUCACCUUGGAUCUGCAUGGUCGUUGGGUUGCCACAUCCUCGCCUGCUGG
Molecule: long non-coding RNA, 914 nt
Filed under: Malus domestica (apple)
Lineage: Eukaryota; Viridiplantae; Streptophyta; Magnoliopsida; Rosales; Rosaceae
Description: long non-coding RNA (MDOM_LNC016366)
Source: RNAcentral